Molecule: non-coding RNA, 73 nt
Organism: Lontra canadensis (Northern American river otter)
Lineage: Eukaryota; Metazoa; Chordata; Mammalia; Carnivora; Mustelidae
Source: the annotation of a RefSeq genome assembly
ACCUGGCUGGCUCAGUUGGUAGAGCAUGUGACUCUUGAUCUCAGAGUUGUGGGUUUGAGCCCCACGUUGGGUA